RNAcentral lists this ribosomal RNA (82 nucleotides) under Giardia duodenalis. RNAcentral's name for it is "Giardia intestinalis partial 18S ribosomal RNA". The record is from RNAcentral. Lineage: Eukaryota; Fornicata; Diplomonadida; Hexamitidae.
GGCGGCGGACGGCUCAGGACAACGGUUGCACCCCCCGCGGCGGUCCCUGCUAGCCGGACACCGCUGGCAACCCGGCGCCAAG